RNAcentral lists this unclassified non-coding RNA (200 nucleotides) under uncultured Cleistothelebolus. Its description in RNAcentral is "sequence contains ITS2". The record is from RNAcentral. Lineage: Eukaryota; Fungi; Ascomycota; Leotiomycetes.
UUAAGUUCAGCGGGUAUCCCUACCUGAUCCGAGGUCAACCUGAAAAAAUUGGGGGUUGCUGGCAAGCACACACCCGGAUCUCCGAAGCGAGGAAAAUUACUACGCUUGAAGCCGAAUGGCACCGCCACUGAUUUUAAGGCCUGCCGAAACUCAGCAGGGCCCAAUACCAAGCAGAGCUUGAGGGUUGUAAUGACGCUCGA